Molecule: ribosomal RNA, 486 nt
Filed under: uncultured bacterium
Lineage: Bacteria
Description: bacterial SSU rRNA
Rfam family: Bacterial small subunit ribosomal RNA
Source: RNAcentral
AAUGAACGUUGGCGGCGUGGAUUAGGCAUGCAAGUCGAGCGAGAAACUUUGGAUUGAAGCUUCGGCAGAGUUUUCAAGGUGGAAAGCGGCGAAAGGGAGAGUAACGCGUGGAAACGUACCCUCAGGUCUGGGAUAGCUGCGGGAAACUGCAGGUAAUACCGGAUAACGUCUUCGGACCAAAGGUGAGAUUCCGCCUGAGGAGCGGUCCGCGUCCUAUUAGCUUGUUGGUGGGGUAAAGGCCUACCAAGGCAAUGAUGGGUACCGGGUGUGAGAGCAUGGCCCGGCUCACUGGGACUGAGACACUGCCCAGACACCUACGGGUGGCUGCAGUCGAGAAUCUUCCGCAAUGGGCGAAAGCCUGACGGAGCGACGCCGCGUGUGGGAUGAAGGCCUUCGGGUUGUAAACCGCUGUCAGAGGGGAGUAAGUGAAGGGGGUCAUCCCCUGGAUCUGAACUAUCCUCAGAGGAAGGACGGGCUAAGUUCGUG